GCUACGGGGGACUGCAGUGAGGAAUAUUGGUCAAUGGGCUUACGCCUGAACCAGCCAAGUCGCGUGAGGGAAGACUGCCCUAUGGGUUGUAAACCUCUUUUGUCAGGGAGCAACGCCGGCUACGUGUAGCCGGACUGAGAGUACCUGAAGAAAAAGCAUCGGCUAACUCCGUGCCAGCAGCCGCGGUAAUACGGCGGAUGCAAGCGUUAUACGGUUUUAUUGGGUUUAAAGGGAUCUUAGUCGGAAUGCCGAGUCAGCGUUAAAAUCGCGGGGCUCAACCUCGCCCCGCCGUUGAAAAUGGCGUUGUUGAGUGGGCGAGAAGUAUGCGGAAUGCGUGGUGUAGCGGGGAAAUGCAUAGAU
This 360-nucleotide ribosomal RNA is filed under the name uncultured bacterium. RNAcentral's name for it is "partial 16S ribosomal RNA". It matches the Rfam family "Bacterial small subunit ribosomal RNA", at positions 338 to 695 of the family's 1533-position model. The record is from RNAcentral.